Molecule: microRNA precursor, 147 nt
Filed under: Theobroma cacao (cacao)
Lineage: Eukaryota; Viridiplantae; Streptophyta; Magnoliopsida; Malvales; Malvaceae
Source: RNAcentral
UAGGCACAGAAAGUGAAGUGCAGCCAAGGAUGACUUGCCGAUUCUUUCUCUUAUAUCCAUUCAGUUUUACCAACACUAGCAACUCAUAUGUAAAGACGAAUUUAAAUCGGCAAGUUGUCCUUGGCUACAUGUUUCUUUUUGCUCCAC